CGGGCAGUGGUGGCAGUGUUUGGGCCACAAUACUUGAGAACACCCAAUGCGGAAGACACUGCUCGGAUCCUAGCCCAGAAUGCAGCAAGAGGAUUUCCUGGGAUGCUUGGAAGUAUCGACUGCAUGCAUUGGAAAUGGAAGAAUUGCCCAUUUGGUUGGCAGGGGAUGUACAAAGGCGCCAAAGGCGGUUGCAGUGUGGUGCUUGAGGCGGUAGCCACACAGGACCUUUGGAUUUGGCACUCCUUCUUUGGUAUGCCAGGAACUCACAAUGACAUCAACGUGCUGCAGUGCUCUCCUAUUUUUGCCAAGCUCGUUGAGGGCCAUUCUCCUCCGGUGAACUUCAAGAUCAAUGGGCACCAAUACAACAAGGGGUACUACCUA
This 381-nucleotide ribosomal RNA is filed under the name Triticum aestivum (bread wheat). Its description in RNAcentral is "partial small subunit ribosomal RNA". Lineage: Eukaryota; Viridiplantae; Streptophyta; Magnoliopsida; Poales; Poaceae. The record is from RNAcentral.